UACGCGCCAAACCGGCCGCAGCCGCGCACCCUGAGCGCCACAGUGGCCUUGUCGUCCUCGUCCGUCUUGACGGUGCAUUCUUCGACGGCGCCGCCGGCGUUGAACAUGUGGAGCAGCCCGAUGGGCGCGAAGGACACGUCCGGCGCCACGGUGCGGAUGGGGCAGACGUGGAACAGCUCGUACUCGAGCCUCUUGAGCGUCACCGGCAGCGUGGCGCCCCGGGGCAGCCGCACGAGCUCCCCCGCCCGGUGCGCGUACACCACGGCGUCACCGCCCCUGUCGUCGGUGCCGGCGGCCUGAGCGAUGCCCUCCACGUCCUCGGCGCGCACCGAGCCGGUGAGCGUCCCGGGCGCCUCGUCGUGGAUCCUCGUCUUCUUGACGACGCGGCACCACCCCGCGCCCUGGCAGUUGAACACCCCCACCACGCCGGCGCACUUGUCCAUGUUCCAUAUCUUGAGCAAGCUGAGAAAGAAAAGCAGGGGAUCUCAUGUCAGCGGCACUGAGAUAGAAUCUGGGAGAGUUUCAUUCACGUCAGAGGGAGGAUUUGAAGGAUGAUGGUGCUGACCUGGCACCAUCGCGCGCCGGGUCGGAGAAGAGGCAGUCGCGCGUGGGCCUGCCGGGGAGCUGCGCGCGGAGCACGGAGCCGUCGGGGAGCACCAACUUCUUGAGAAGGUCGAAGUUGUGGUUCCCAGGCUUGUCGCUGACAUAAAUGGGGCAGCCGCCGAUGGCCCUCGCCGCGCCGUGGUACUCCGCCGCCGGGUGCAGGCUCUGUAUCAUCAAUUCAUAAUUACCAUCCAUCGGUCAGAAGUCAGAACAAACAGUAGAAAACAAUUAAUUAAACGUGAGAAAGAAAGAAAGAAAGAAUUACAUGGAACAUGUCCCAGUCGGGCUGCAUGAAUUCGCCGAGGAAGAGCGUGUUGUAUGCGACGGAGGAGAUGUGGACGGUGUGCGACGCCGGGUCGCGCGGGUAGAAGUCGUCGGAGGCGCGCACGACGGCGGUCUGCUUGGCGCUGUAGAGCAUGUCGGUGUUGUGGCACAUGCAGGAGAUGCAGCCGUUGUCCGGGAAGUUGCGGGCGACGGAGGCCUCUAGCGCGCGGUGGUAGGCGCGGGUGAGCGCGACGCGGCCGCCGUGGCCCGCGCCGAGGGUCUCCACGAUGUUCUGCACGUCCACCUUGACGCCGUCGACGCCGCAGGCGGCCAGGUAGGCGUGGAGCUCGUCGUAGAAGUUGUAGACCUUGCGGGGGUGCACGAGGCCGAGGCCGAGCACGGAGAGCGAGUCCAUGACGAUGUCCGGCUGGUUGCCCGUGACGCCCGGCGACUGCACGGGGUACGCCAGCGCCGACUCGUAGUGCUCCAUCCCGGCCGCCGACGGCUUGACGCCGCCCCAGUAGCCGGCCAUGGCGUGCCAGACGUAGACGCUCUUGACGCCGUGCUCCUUCUUGGUCUCCUCCACCAGCCGCUUCAGCCCCGGGGUGUCGUCCU
RNAcentral lists this long non-coding RNA (1482 nucleotides) under Triticum aestivum (bread wheat). RNAcentral's name for it is "long non-coding RNA (TAES_LNC026887)". The record is from RNAcentral. Lineage: Eukaryota; Viridiplantae; Streptophyta; Magnoliopsida; Poales; Poaceae.